Molecule: long non-coding RNA, 562 nt
Organism: Malaclemys terrapin pileata
Lineage: Eukaryota; Metazoa; Chordata; Testudines; Emydidae
Exons: 2
Source: RefSeq, a predicted model, not a curated record
CGUGAAGCCCGCUGUCUUCCUGCAAUUCGCCCGCCGCGGCUUUGCGGAAAAUCAGGAGAAACUGUCAGAGGGAAGAGGCACAACAUUGUGGGCCAAGCAGGAGGGGCAUAUAUAACAUAUGAAGAGUGAAAUCUACCUCCGUAUAGGAGACCAGGAGAAGUGAUGCACAGAGAUAGUACUGACCCUCUGAUGCUUCACUACAGCCCCUCCUGAACGGCUAGUUCUCAAUCAAAAAAGAAACGGGACUCCGCAGAGCUUCAUUCCAGCUGGCAGAGAGUGAAUCGAAGACCUUUGCCUAGAGCCCCUGGCCUGGGAUUGAACGACUCACCCAGUGAAUGCAAUCCCCUUCCUGCUCAGGACCCUGAAGCUCUAACUUUCAGUUCCCUCUCCAGGAACACAGCACACACACGGUAAAAGCAGCUACAGUUAUUGACAUUAGAUCCUGCUUAGGAAGCGGAUCUACUGCCCAAUGGUACAAUUUCCCCACUGUACAAAAGCCGACCAGGCGAAUACCACAGCAGGAAGUUUGCAGCCCAGAAUAAAAUAAGUGCUUAAAAUCAUA